Molecule: ribosomal RNA, 520 nt
Filed under: uncultured Glomus
Lineage: Eukaryota; Fungi; Glomeromycota; Glomeromycetes; Glomerales; Glomeraceae
Description: SSU rRNA
Rfam family: Eukaryotic small subunit ribosomal RNA
Source: RNAcentral
AGCAGCCGCGGUAAUUCCAGCUCCAAUAGCGUAUAUUAAAGUUGUUGCAGUUAAAAGCUCGUAGUUGAAUUUCGGGAUCAAUCUAUCGGUCGUGCAAUAGUACGUACUGAUUUUAUUGAUUCCUACCUUCUGAUGAACUAUGAUGUCAUUAAUUUGGUGUCAUAGGGAAUCAGGACUGUUACUUUGAAAAAUUAGAGUGUUUAAAGCAGGCUCACGCUUGAAUACAUUAGCAUGGAAUAACGAAAUAGGACGUUUGAUUCUAUUUUGUUGGUUUCUAGGAUCGACGUAAUGAUUAAUAGGGAUAGUUGGGGGCAUUAGUAUUCAAUUGUCAGAGGUGAAAUUCUUGGAUUUAUUGAAGACUAACUACUGCGAAAGCAUUUGCCAAGGAUGUUUUCAUUAAUCAAGAACGAAGUUAGGGGAUCGAAGACGAUCAGAUACCGUCGUAGUCUUAACCAUAAACUAUGCCGACUAGGGAUCGGAUGAUGUUAAUUUUUUAAUGACUCAUUCGGCGCCUUAUCGG